Camelina sativa (false flax) is the source of this 802-nucleotide RNA transcript. It is a transcript of the gene named branched-chain-amino-acid aminotransferase 6-like, with no coding region annotated. NCBI's taxonomy places the organism in Eukaryota, Viridiplantae, Streptophyta, Magnoliopsida, Brassicales, Brassicaceae. The record is from RefSeq and is a predicted model, not a curated record.
UUGUUCAUCUAAGGAGCUCUAAAUAUUUACUAAAAAAAUAAUUAAGAUGGAAAGGAAUCAAAAGGGUUUGUUUGUUGUCACUAUAAAAGAAGGCUCCUAAAACAACGUGACCGCUCCACUCCUCUCUGCCUUUCACUUCACUUCUCUAUUUCUCUCCGCCAGCUAUGGCUCCUUCUUCAUCACCUCUUCGUACUACAAGGCACUGAGAUGAAAACAGUGAAGCGGAUGAGAAGUAUGCGAAUGUGAAAUGGGAAGAGCUUGGAUUUGCUCUGACUCCAACAGAUUACAUGUAUGUAGCCAAAUGCAGACAAGGUGAGCGCUUUUCACAAGGAAAGAUCCUUCCUUAUGGGGAUAUUUCAAUCAGCCCUUGUUCUGCUAUUCUCAAUUAUGGCCAGCAGGUGUAGCAGUUUUGUUUGCAGACUCAUUGAGUGAAGGAGAAUUAAAAAUAAAAGAUGACAGCAGCGGAUCAGGUUAAAGAAGUGAAACUUGUAGAAGCACCAAGAAGAGACUGUAAGUUUGCUUCCCGGAAUUCCUUUUUCAAGGCGAGAUAAGUAGAGCUAUAUCCUCCUCUUCACAACCUUCUCUUUCGCUGAACGUAAAAACCUCUCAUCAAGGAAUUAAAAAAAUCCACUCUUAAGUUGUACCAAAUGAUUAUUAUAUGUACUAUAGAGAACCAAGAUAAUAAACAGAUUUAACCAUCAGAUAUUGAAAGUUGAAAGGAUAUCUUAAAAAAAUUGGCAUGUUGCGUCGUAAUAUGGCCAACGAUAUUCAAUCCCACCCUCUUAGUGCAUACAGGACAGAC